RNAcentral lists this long non-coding RNA (353 nucleotides) under Capsella rubella. Its description in RNAcentral is "long non-coding RNA (CRUB_LNC002666)". Lineage: Eukaryota; Viridiplantae; Streptophyta; Magnoliopsida; Brassicales; Brassicaceae. The record is from RNAcentral.
AGAUACCAAAAAGCUUCCAAACCAAUAUUAGAAAGAAAAAAAACUAUAUUUUCUAUAAAUACACCACAUUCUCAUAUUAGCAAAACAUUGUAAAAAACUGUAACUAAUAUAACGUAAACGGUAAACCAUAUUUCCUAUUUUUAGUAAAUUGUUACACCUCUUUAGUACUAAUUAACAAGGAAGAAAGAAAAAGAAAAAAAAACAAAUGUAUAUGUGAGUUGUUAUUUCUCUAUUUAGUACACCAACUAAGUAACAAUAACAUAUUAACGGAAAAAAAAACCGUUUCCAUAUGUAUAUAUAAACCCCUAAAAGUUCUAACAUUGAAGAUAAGGUAGCUCAAAUAACAUCAAAAC